CCCCAGGUCAGGCGGGACUACCUACUGAGUUUAAGCAUAUAAAUAAGAGAAGGAGAAGAAACUUACGAGGAUUCCCCUAGUAACGGCGAGUGAAUCGGGAGAUGCCCAGCUUGAGAAUCGGGCAGCCGCAUCGUCCGAAUUGUAGUUUGGAGAGGCGUCCUUAGCGACGGACCGGGCCCAAGUCCCCUGGAAAGGGACGCCUGGGAGGGUGAGAGCCUCGUCCGGCCCGGACCCUGUCACCCCACGAGGCACCAUCAACGAGUCGGGUUGUUUGGGGAAUGCAGCCCAAAUCGGGCGGUAAACUCCAUCCAAGGCAAAAUAGAGGCGAGAGACCGAUAGCGAACAAGUACCACGAGGGAAAGAUGAAAAGGAUUUUGAAAAGAGAGUCAAAGAGUGCUUGAAAUUGCCGCGAGGGAAGCAGAUGGGGGCCGGCGAUGCGCCCUGGCCAUAUGCGGAACAACUUUGGCUGGUCCACCAAUCGGCUCGAGGCGUGGAUUGUUGUCGGCCGCCCGGCGGCCAAAGCCCGAGGGCCUCACGCCCCCGGUAGCCAUCGUCAGUGCAGCCGGUCACCGCGCAUCUCUGGCGCGCCCCUCGGGGCGCCACACUACAAUGGCCUGCGGGUCCCCAUCCGACCCGUCUUGAAAGAUGGACCAAGGAGUCUGACAUGCGUGCAAGUCGACGGGUUCUGAAACUUGGGAUGCGCAAGGAAGCUGACGAGAGGGAGGCCCCUACGGGCUACACCGCUGGCCGACCCUGAUCUUCCCUCCCUGCAAAUCGUUCGUCUGACUUGGGUAUAGGGGCGAAAGACUAAUCGAACCAUCUAGUAGCUGGCUCCCUCCGAAGUUUCCCUC
This 851-nucleotide ribosomal RNA is filed under the name Oryza latifolia. RNAcentral describes it as "eukaryotic LSU rRNA". It matches the Rfam family "Eukaryotic large subunit ribosomal RNA", at positions 1 to 974 of the family's 3401-position model. The record is from RNAcentral. Lineage: Eukaryota; Viridiplantae; Streptophyta; Magnoliopsida; Poales; Poaceae.